This 490-nucleotide ribosomal RNA is filed under the name uncultured bacterium. Its description in RNAcentral is "partial 16S ribosomal RNA". It matches the Rfam family "Bacterial small subunit ribosomal RNA", at positions 28 to 507 of the family's 1533-position model. The record is from RNAcentral.
GAUGAACGCUAGCUACAGGCUUAACACAUGCAAGUCGCGGGGCAGCAUGGGGGUUGCUUGCAAUCCCCGAUGGCGACCGGCGCACGGGUGAGUAACGCGUAUCCAACCUGCCCUUCACCACGGGAUAACCCGGCGAAAGUCGGACUAAUACCGUAUGUUGUCCAUUGACGGCAUCCGAUUUGGACGAAAGGCUUGGCGGUGAGGGAUGGGGAUGCGUCCGAUUAGCCAGACGGCGGGGUAACGGCCCACCGUGGCUACGAUCGGUAGGGGUUCUGAGAGGAAGGUCCCCCACACUGGAACUGAGACACGGUCCAGACUCCUACGGGAGGCAGCAGUGAGGAAUAUUGGUCAAUGGGCGUAAGCCUGAACCAGCCAAGUAGCGUGCAGGAGGACGGCCCUAUGGGUUGUAAACUGCUUUUAUGCGGGGAUAAAGUGGCCCACGGGUGGGCUUUUGCAGGUACCGCAUGAAUAAGGACCGGCUAAUUCCGUG